RNAcentral lists this ribosomal RNA (253 nucleotides) under uncultured bacterium. RNAcentral describes it as "partial 16S ribosomal RNA". It matches the Rfam family "Bacterial small subunit ribosomal RNA", at positions 524 to 776 of the family's 1533-position model. The record is from RNAcentral.
UACGGGGGGAGCAAGCGUUGUUCGGAUUUACUGGGCGUAAAGGGUGCGUAGGUGGCCAGGUAAGUUCGGUGUGAAAGCUCGGAGCUUAACUUCGAAAUGGCAUUGAAUACUAUCUGGCUAGAGGGUCGGAGGGGAGACUGGAAUUCUCGGUGUAGCAGUGAAAUGCGUAGAUAUCGAGAGGAACACCAGUGGCGAAGGCGAGUCUCUGGACGACUCCUGACACUGAGGCACGAAAGCCAGGGGAGCAAACAGG